This 391-nucleotide unclassified non-coding RNA is filed under the name soil metagenome. RNAcentral's name for it is "partial contains 5.8S ribosomal RNA, internal transcribed spacer 2, and large subunit ribosomal RNA". The stretch from base 1 to 122 matches the Rfam family "5.8S ribosomal RNA", at positions 35 to 154 of the family's 154-position model. The record is from RNAcentral.
GAUGAAGAACGCAGUGAAAUGCGAUACUUGGUGUGAAUUGCAGAAUCCCGUGAACCAUCGAGUCUUUGAACGCGAGUUGCGCCCGAAGCCACUAGGCCGAGGGCACGCCUGCCUGGGCGUCACACGCCGUUGCCCCCCCAUCUACUCCUUCGGGAUUGCGGGGGGGCGGAUGAUGGCCUCCCGUGCGCCUAGCCGCGCGGUUGGCAUAAAUACCAAGUCCUCGGCGACGCACGCCACGACAAUCGGUGGUUGCGAAACCUCGGUUGCCCGUCGUGUGCGUUCGUCGCGCAUCGAGGGCUCGAAAAAAUGCUCGGCUCCGGCUGGGCUUUCAACGCGACCCCAGGUCAGGCGGGGUUACCCGCUGAAUUUAAGCAUAUCAAUAAGCGGAGGA